This 450-nucleotide ribosomal RNA is filed under the name uncultured bacterium. RNAcentral's name for it is "partial 16S ribosomal RNA". It matches the Rfam family "Bacterial small subunit ribosomal RNA", at positions 354 to 796 of the family's 1533-position model. The record is from RNAcentral.
GUGGGGAAUCUUCCGCAAUGGACGAAAGUCUGACGGAGCGACGCCGCGUGAGUGAAGAAGGCCUUCGGGUCGUAAAGCUCUGUCAUCAGGGACGAACGGCCGGUGGAGUGGAAAGCCACCGGAUUGACGGUACCUGAGAAGGAAGCCACGGCUAACUACGUGCCAGCAGCCGCGGUAAUACGUAGGUGGCAAGCGUUGUCCGGAAUUAUUGGGCGUAAAGCGCGCGCAGGUGGGAUCUUAAGUCCAUUUUUAAAGUUCGGAGCUCAACUCCGUGAUGGGAUGGAAACUGGGAUUCUUGAGUACCGGAGAGGAAAGCGGAAUUCCCCGUGUAGCGGUGAAAUGCGUAGAUAUGGGGAGGAACACCAGUGGCGAAGGCGGCUUUCUGGACGGUGUCUGACACUGAGGCGCGAAAGCCAGGGGAGCGAACGGGAUUAGAAACUCUGGUAGUCC